This 216-nucleotide ribosomal RNA is filed under the name Campeiostachys nutans. RNAcentral describes it as "Elymus nutans partial small subunit ribosomal RNA". The stretch from base 40 to 216 matches the Rfam family "Eukaryotic small subunit ribosomal RNA", at positions 686 to 864 of the family's 1831-position model. The record is from RNAcentral. Lineage: Eukaryota; Viridiplantae; Streptophyta; Magnoliopsida; Poales; Poaceae.
GGGUCAGUAGGUUGGUCAUGCCACUGGUAUGUACUGGUCUCACUGAUUCCUCCUUCCUGAUGAGCCGUAAUGCCAUUAAUUUGGUGUUGCGGGGAAUUUGGACUGUUACUUUGAAAAAAUUAGAGUGUUUAAAGCAAGCUAACGCUUGAAUACAUUAGCAUGGAAUAAUGAAAUAGGACGUUCGAUCCUAUUUUGUUGGUUUCUAGGGCUUUUGUA